This 612-nucleotide long non-coding RNA is filed under the name Phoenix dactylifera (date palm). RNAcentral describes it as "long non-coding RNA (PDAC_LNC020665)". Lineage: Eukaryota; Viridiplantae; Streptophyta; Magnoliopsida; Arecales; Arecaceae. The record is from RNAcentral.
AUAAUAUCCAUAUCAGUCAAAAUCAAAAACACUAUUCUUUUCUUUAACAACAAAAUUCUCACAAUUUACUAAAUCACUUCCAAUCAAAAUCCAAUCUACAUUGUAAUUUGAAAAGAUCUAAAGUUUCAAAUUCUAGGUAAAGCCAAAGAAUAAUUCUAGAAUUUCAUCCCAAAUAUAUUCUUUAUCUACACAGACGUUUCAUACAUGAUCUACAUACAGUUUUUAAUCCUUGAAGAAUAUUUCAAUUAAGAACUAUAAAAAUCUUUCAUGGCCCAAAUCUUAAACAACAUUUCAUAUGUGAACCUUAACUUGUCACCGAAUUAAUUAACUUCAAGCUAGAAGUAACAUCACAGUAUCCGAUAUUAAUUUUGAACUUCCAAAAUACUUACAUUGCACGAUAAUAUUCUGUGACUAAUACUCUUUCACUUAACUUAGUCAAAAUCCAAUUGAUCAUAUCUUGGAAUACAAAUUACUCCCCCAAGAAGACUCUCAGAAUAGUCUAUUCAUACUUUGGCUAUAAACACAGUUAGCUAGCAUUCUGAUUUCAGUAUCACAAAAUUCAGAUAAGAUAACACAAAUUUACCUCUAACAAAAGUAAACAAAGAUAUUUGU